CUCUAUUUUUGUUUAAAAAUAUAGCUAACAUUCAUAGUACACUAGCGAGUAGUUACAAUGACAGAAUCAUCCUUUGAUCUUUAAUAAAAUGCUUGAAAGGAAAAAUGAUUACAUUGCAUUAGCACUUUUGUAGCAAUAACAAAACCCCCAAAUUAAAUCCAAGAGAUCAACACAAGUUCAUCAAAAUAAUUGCAUCCUGUGAAUCAUACAAGGGGGUUAAAAAAAUCACAAUAAUUUAAGAAAAACAAGAAAUUCAAAAUUUCUAACUUCUGUGGCCUAAAUCCAAAUUGAAAUGCUCAGGUUUAUCAUGCAAAAACUACAAUUUAGAACAUGCUCAAACACAAUGAGAUCCCAGCUAAUGAUAAACCUUUCACGUGAUUCAUACUAAGACCGAUGAUUAGCAAUAGCAUCGCCUUUUCAAAGCUGUAGCGCCCUAGGAUCAAGUGGGAUACUACCAACUCUUAGAAUACCAGAAGAUUCAGCAAAUCCAUUAACUUUGACAGACAUUGAUCCUACUGUGACAACACCAACAGGAUCAGAACUAGAAACACAAGUUGCGACAUCUGAGGAGGGUUUAGGCUCAUCGUGCUUGGGUUUAAUACUAAGAGAACCAAUCUUUAAAACAGAUGCAAUAUCACUUCCCGAUUUUACUAUUGUUUGCCCAGAAAUUUCACUCUCAACACUGGUAUCAGCAGCAUCAGAAUUUGAAGAAACCUGUUCAGUGCUAGGGGCCUCAGUUUUCUUCAUGCAGUUAGUACUAUUCUGCUCCAUAGUUUUCUCAUCUUUCUUUGGAGCUAACUCAACAAGACAAUCCAACUUGUGAGCAGGAUCUGAUGCAGGUACUAAGAAUGCAGUUUCAAAGCUUUUAAAUAUAAGCCUAGCUUUCUCUUCCUGCAUAAUUCUCUGACG
Molecule: unclassified non-coding RNA, 909 nt
Filed under: Hevea brasiliensis (rubber tree)
Lineage: Eukaryota; Viridiplantae; Streptophyta; Magnoliopsida; Malpighiales; Euphorbiaceae
Source: RNAcentral